GACGAACGCUGGCGGCGUGCUUAACACAUGCAAGUCGAACGGAAAGGCCCUGCUUUUGUGGGGUGCUCGAGUGGCGAACGGGUGAGUAACACGUGAGUAACCUGCCCUUGACUUUGGGAUAACUUCAGGAAACUGGGGCUAAUACCGGAUAGGAGCUCCUGCUGCAUGGUGGGGGUUGGAAAGUUUCGGCGGUUGGGGAUGGACUCGCGGCUUAUCAGCUUGUUGGUGGGGUAGUGGCUUACCAAGGCUUUGACGGGUAGCCGGCCUGAGAGGGUGACCGGCCACAUUGGGACUGAGAUACGGCCCAGACUCCUACGGGAGGCAGCAGUGGGGAAUAUUGCACAAUGGGCGGAAGCCUGAUGCAGCAACGCCGCGUGCGGGAUGACGGCCUUCGGGUUGUAAACCGCUUUCGCCUGUGACGAGGCGUGAGUGACGGUAAUGGGUAAAGAAGCACCGGCUAACUACGUGCCAGCAGCCGCGGUGAUACGUAGGGUGCGAGCGUUGUCCGGAUUUAUUGGGCGUAAAGGGCUCGUAGGUGGUUGAUCGCGUCGGAAGUGUAAUCUUGGGGCUUAACCCUGAGCGUGCUUUCGAUACGGGUUGACUUGAGGGAGGUAGGGGAGAAUGGAAUUCCUGGUGGAGCGGUGGAAUGCGCAGAUAUCAAGAGGAACACCAGUGGCGAAGGCGGUUCUCUGGGCCUUUCCUGACGCUGAGGAGCGAAAGCGUGGGGAGCGAACAGGCUUAGAUACCCUGGUAGUCCACGCUGUAAACGGUGGGUACUAGGUGUGGGGUCCAUUCCACGGGUUCCGUGCCGUAGCUAACGCUUUAAGUACCCCGCCUGGGGAGUACGGCCGCAAGGCUAAAACUCAAAGGAAUUGACGGGGCCCCGCACAAGCGGCGGAGCAUGCGGAUUAAUUCGAUGCAACGCGUAGAACCUUACCUGGGUUUGACAUGGAUCGGGAGUGCUCAGAGAUGGGUGUGCCUCUUUUGGGGUCGGUUCACAGGUGGUGCAUGGCUGUCGUCAGCUCGUGUCGUGAGAUGUUGGGUUAAGUCCCGCAACGAGCGCAACCCUUGUUCACUGUUGCCAGCACGUUAUGGUGGGGACUCAGUGGAGACCGCCGGGGUCAACUCGGAGGAAGGUGGGGAUGACGUCAAGUCAUCAUGCCCCUUAUGUCCAGGGCUUCACGCAUGCUACAAUGGCUGGUACAGAGAGUGGCGAGCCUGUGAGGGUGAGCGAAUCUCGGAAAGCCGGUCUCAGUUCGGAUUGGGGUCUGCAACUCGACCUCAUGAAGUCGGAGUCGCUAGUAAUCGCAGAUCAGCAACGCUGCGGUGAAUACGUUCCCGGG
RNAcentral lists this ribosomal RNA (1343 nucleotides) under uncultured bacterium. Its description in RNAcentral is "16S ribosomal RNA". It matches the Rfam family "Bacterial small subunit ribosomal RNA", at positions 28 to 1378 of the family's 1533-position model. The record is from RNAcentral.